CAAGGAAUAGUUUAAUAAAAAUAAUAAUUUUGGAGAUUAUUGAUAAAGAAGUAUCUUUUUCUUUGA
RNAcentral lists this transfer RNA (66 nucleotides) under Evergestis extimalis. RNAcentral's name for it is "tRNA-Pro". Lineage: Eukaryota; Metazoa; Arthropoda; Insecta; Lepidoptera; Crambidae. The record is from RNAcentral.